RNAcentral lists this ribosomal RNA (735 nucleotides) under Remototrachyna dodapetta. RNAcentral's name for it is "SSU rRNA". It matches the Rfam family "Bacterial small subunit ribosomal RNA", at positions 471 to 1243 of the family's 1533-position model. Lineage: Eukaryota; Fungi; Ascomycota; Lecanoromycetes; Lecanorales; Parmeliaceae. The record is from RNAcentral.
GACGUUAUAUGCGUAUGUGUCUUGACCAAUUACGUGCCAGCAGUCGCGGUAAUACGUAUAAGGCUAGCGUUAUUCAUGUUUAAUCGGUUUAAAGGGUACCUAGACGGCAGAUCAAGCUUAUGAAAAAAAAAGGACUAAUCUGCUAGAGUUACUUGUGAGGGGGCUAUAAAGUACUGCUGGUGUAGGGAUGAAAUACUAUGAUACCUGAUUUCUAAGGAGAAAGAAAAGUUAUGGCACAGGUAUAGGCGAAGGCAUCCCCUUAUGUGAUAACUGACGUUCAGGGACGAAGGCUUCGGACCACGAACAGGAUUAGAGACCCUGGUAGUUGAAGCAGUAAACGAUGAAUGUCAUAGAUUAGAUAUAUAAGUUUCUUCUAUAAAUGAAAGUGUAAGCAUUCCACCUCAAGAGUAAUUUGGCAACAUUGGAACUGAAAUCAUUAGACCGUUUCUGAAAUUAGUAAUGAAGUAUGUUGUUUAAUUUGAUAAUCCGCAAAAAACCUUACCACAAUUUGAAUAUUUACUAGGCUUUUGAUAACGGCUAGUAUUUACAAGCGUUGCACGGCUGUCGUCAGUUGAUGUCGCGAGACUGUGGUUUACUCCACCAAUUAACGUAAACCCUCACUUUAUUUUUAGAUAAAGUAGAUAAUCACCGAUAUGGAGACUAUAACAGGGACCAAGGCAAGUCAUCAUGGCCUAAAUAUUGUGGACUAUAGACGUGCCACAUUGACCUUACAAA